Molecule: long non-coding RNA, 1020 nt
Organism: Nerophis ophidion (straightnose pipefish)
Lineage: Eukaryota; Metazoa; Chordata; Actinopteri; Syngnathiformes; Syngnathidae
Exons: 4
Source: RefSeq, a predicted model, not a curated record
AAAGAACAGACAACAACCGUCACAAUUCCCGCAAACUACGAUGUUUUUUCGUCCUAAAUAUGAAGGAUUUGAUGUCUAAAGUAAGGAUUUUUUUCAAGACUGGACUUUCAAUCAAAGCAAGAAGUCAUGAAUAAUGGGAGACAAACGCCAGAGCUGCCAGGUUUGAUUCAAACGCGCUCGGUCCGAGCCGAGGACAGAAAAUAACGCCUUCAUUUCAAAAGGAUUGGUACACUGGAAAAGAACGACUUUGUGGUUGUGCUACAAAAAAAAAACUUUAUUGCUUUCCCUGCCUUUUAUUCUCCACGAGUGACCGUGUUUGGACCAAAGUGUGAUAUACUUGUGACAACUUGUCCAGGGUGUACCCUGCCUUCCGCCCGAAUGCAGCUGAGAUAGGCUCCAAACACCCCGGGAGGGACAAGCGGUAGGAAAUGGAUGAGAUGGAUCCGAAAAAGCUGCCGAGAAGCCUCGAAAAAACAUGAACGUUCAUCUGCCCACAUUCAAAGUCAGAUUUCUUUCAAAAUGUUUGGAAUAUCAAAUAAUGAUCUGGCUCUAAAUGAGACUAAAUAUCAGCAUCCACAAUAACAAUGCAAAGGAACAUGGGUGUACCGAAUGCAGCUGAGAUGGGCUCCAGCGACCCCCAAAGGGACAAGCGGUAGAAAAUGGAUGGAUGGAUGGACUUUUUAAAACUCAAAAGAGAAAAUGGAGGACUUCAACAACAAAGUCAUAGAGAUCUUCAUCCCGAAGGAAAGGCGAAUGAACUUCAUUUACAAGUAAAGCUGAGACGAGGGAGGGCCUUUGUGUGGCUCCGUGGAAUGCGGUGCGCUUGGCAUUUUUCAGCGAAAGGGCAUCUUUCUGGAAGCCGCCGCCGCCACAAGGAGGGAGCGGAGGGAGAUGUGGAGAGCAGUGAGCAGCAGCGGUGGCCAUGCCCAGGAAUCAUUUUUGGUGAUUUAACCCCCAAUUCCAACCCUUGACGCUGAUUGCCAAGCAAUGAGGUAAUGGGUCACAUUUGUAUAGUCUUUG